CGUUGUUCGGAUUUACUGGGCGUAAAGGGCGCGUAGGCGGUAAUUCAAGUCAGUUGUGAAAUCUCCGAGCUUAACUCGGAACGGUCAACUGAUACUGUUUUACUAGAGUACAGAAAGGGCAAUCGGAAUUCUUGGUGUAGCGGUGAAAUGCGUAGAUAUCAAGAGGAACACCAGAGGCGAAGGCGGGUUGCUAGGCUGAUACUGACGCUGAGGCGUGAAAGCUAGG
RNAcentral lists this ribosomal RNA (226 nucleotides) under uncultured bacterium. RNAcentral's name for it is "partial 16S ribosomal RNA". It matches the Rfam family "Bacterial small subunit ribosomal RNA", at positions 539 to 764 of the family's 1533-position model. The record is from RNAcentral.